AAACCCUUUGUAAUUGAAAUCAGCGUCUGAAAAAACAUAAUAGUUACAACUUUCAACAACGGAUCUCUUGGUUCUGGCAUCGAUGAAGAACGCAGCGAAAUGCGAUAAGUAGUGUGAAUUGCAGAAUUCAGUGAAUCAUCGAAUCUUUGAACGCACAUUGCGCCCCUUGGUAUUCCAUGGGGCAUGCCUGUUCGAGCGUCAUUUGUACCUUCAAGCUCUGCUUGGUGUUGGGUGUUUGUCUCGCCUUUGCGUGUAGACUCGCCUUAAAACAAUUGGCAGCCGGCGUAUUGAUUUCGGAGCGCAGUACAUCUCGCGCUUUGCACUCAUAACGACGACGUCCAAAAAGUACUUUUUACACUCUUGACCUCGGAUCAGGUAGGGAUACCCGCUGAACUUAAGCAUAUCAAAAGGCGNGAGANGNNGAGCACUACCUAGA
This 436-nucleotide ribosomal RNA is filed under the name fungal sp. 9A TTMM-2011. Its description in RNAcentral is "eukaryotic LSU rRNA". The stretch from base 48 to 201 matches the Rfam family "5.8S ribosomal RNA". Lineage: Eukaryota; Fungi. The record is from RNAcentral.